RNAcentral lists this ribosomal RNA (253 nucleotides) under uncultured Gemmata sp. RNAcentral's name for it is "partial 16S ribosomal RNA". It matches the Rfam family "Bacterial small subunit ribosomal RNA", at positions 524 to 776 of the family's 1533-position model. Lineage: Bacteria; Pseudomonadati; Planctomycetota; Planctomycetia; Gemmatales; Gemmataceae. The record is from RNAcentral.
GACGAACCGUGCAAACGUUGUUCGGAAUCACUGGGCUUAAAGGGCGCGUAGGCGGCUUGCAUAGUCGGUGGUGAAAUCCUGCAGCUUAACUGUAGAAGUGCCUCCGAUACUAGCAGGCUCGAGGGAGGUAGGGGUCUGCGGAACUUCUGGUGGAGCGGUGAAAUGCGUUGAUAUCAGAAGGAACGCCGGUGGCGAAAGCGGCGGACUGGACCUCUUCUGACGCUGAUGCGCGAAAGCUAGGGGAGCAAACGGG